Molecule: long non-coding RNA, 904 nt
Organism: Panicum virgatum (switchgrass)
Lineage: Eukaryota; Viridiplantae; Streptophyta; Magnoliopsida; Poales; Poaceae
Exons: 2
Source: RefSeq, a predicted model, not a curated record
UCUUUGUGCCAAGGGAUGAAACCUGUAACCCAGUAUAUUUGGUGUACCCAGAAGCUGAUUUGAGAACAUGUGUCACAAUAUAAAAUGGUCAACAAAUAGAUCUCACUGUUAAGAAAACUAUAAAAGAUCGGUGGUACAACAUUCUGUAUAGUGCAUCAUCCUAGCGAUUAUGCUCCCAUAGAUUUUGCAACUCUGUAGCUUCAUAUUUAAAUUUGAUUUUCCAAAGUAUCUAGGAUAGCAAAAAGACUGGCCUUUAAUUUAGCUUCUAUUAGGCAACAUGCUGAUUAUAUUCCAUGCUAUGAAUGUUUUGCUCGCAAGUGUUAAAAUGUGUUAUAUAUAGUUUGUAGUCGCAAUUUAGAGGUCCUCUCUUAAUUGACUUGGUUUCUGAGCACAAGACUUUUUUCUUCUUCUAAAGAAAUAGGUACAUCUCUGCUUUUCUUCUUCGUCUUCCUUUGUCCUGUUUCCUUUUUUGUGCUAUGCAUCAUAAAUUCAAAUUCUCUCAUCAAGGUGGAAUAUGGUUCAUGUACCAUGCAGAAGGCUAUUAUGAGGAACCCGCACAAACAGUUGUCUUCACCAUAUGAGGAGAGAAUUUCUGCAUUUCAUUUUCUAUUGCCUGUCGCAAAAUGCCACUACACGGUCAUCAAGAUGCACCAUCGAUUUUGGAUGCAUGUAACUUGCUCAAGAUAUACUGAUCUUCAAUAAAAUAUGUGCUUUGUGCUUUCCCUUUCCAUGGCAACCAUCUGACUUCUCGCUUCUGUAUUUAUUUUUGUGCCAAUUUUAGUACCUAACGCAGAGCCCUCGGUUCAAUAUGAAUUGUUUGAUUAGGUGUGAAAAUGUACUGCUACAGUUCCGCUACGGCCUACUGUAUGGUCACAUGAAUAAAAACAUCAAAGACAUUGGUAAA